Molecule: ribosomal RNA, 440 nt
Filed under: uncultured bacterium
Lineage: Bacteria
Description: partial 16S ribosomal RNA
Rfam family: Bacterial small subunit ribosomal RNA
Source: RNAcentral
CCUACGGGUGGCAGCAGUGGGGAAUAUUGGACAAUGGGGGGAACCCUGAUCCAGCGACGCCGCGUGAGGGAAGAAGUAUUUCGGUAUGUAAAGCUCUAUCAGCAGGGAAGAAAAAGACGGUACUUGACUAAGAAGCCCCGGCUAACUACGUGCCAGCAGCAGCGGUAAUACGUAGGGGGCAAGCGUUAUCCGGCUUUACUGGGUGUAAAGGGAGCGUAGACGGUGCAGCAAGUCUGAUGAGAAAGUUAGGGGCCCAACCCCGGGACUGCAUUUGAAACUGUUGAACUUGAGUACAGGAGAGGUAAGCGGAAUUCCUUGUGUAGCGGUGAAAUGCGUAGAUAUUAGGAGGAACCCCAGUGGCGAAGGCGGCUUACUGGACUGUAACUGACGUUGAGGCUCGAAAGCGUGGGGAGCAAACAGGAUUAGAUACCCGAGUAGUC